GGGGUAGAGCAGUGGUAGCUCGUCGGGCUCAUAACCCGGAGGUCAUUGGUUCGAAUCCUUUCCCCG
This 66-nucleotide transfer RNA is filed under the name bovine gut metagenome. It matches the Rfam family "tRNA". From Rfam's summary of the family: Transfer RNA (tRNA) molecules are approximately 80 nucleotides in length. Their secondary structure includes four short double-helical elements and three loops (D, anti-codon, and T loops). Further hydrogen bonds mediate the characteristic L-shaped molecular structure. tRNAs have two regions of fundamental functional importance: the anti-codon, which is responsible for specific mRNA codon recognition, and the 3' end, to which the tRNAs corresponding amino acid is attached (by aminoacyl-tRNA synthetases). tRNAs cope with the degeneracy of the genetic code in two manners: having more than one tRNA (with a specific anti-codon) for a particular amino acid; and 'wobble' base-pairing, i.e. permitting non-standard base-pairing at the 3rd anti-codon position. The record is from RNAcentral.